RNAcentral lists this ribosomal RNA (253 nucleotides) under uncultured bacterium. Its description in RNAcentral is "partial 16S ribosomal RNA". It matches the Rfam family "Bacterial small subunit ribosomal RNA", at positions 524 to 776 of the family's 1533-position model. The record is from RNAcentral.
UACGUAGGUGGCAAGCGUUGUCCGGAUUUAUUGGGUUUAAAGGGUGCGUAGGCGGUCCUAUAAGUCAGUGCUGAAAUAUCCCGGCUUAACCGGGAGGGUGGCAUUGAUACUGCAGGACUUGAGUGAAGUCGAGGUAGGCGGAAUUGACGGUGUAGCGGUGAAAUGCUUAGAUAUCGUCAAGAACACCGAUAGUGAAGACAGCUUACUAGACUUCAACUGACGCUGAGGCACGAAAGUGUGGGGAUCAAACGGG